This 57-nucleotide transfer RNA is filed under the name Chloropicon mariensis. RNAcentral's name for it is "partial tRNA". It matches the Rfam family "tRNA", at positions 2 to 56 of the family's 71-position model. From Rfam's summary of the family: Transfer RNA (tRNA) molecules are approximately 80 nucleotides in length. Their secondary structure includes four short double-helical elements and three loops (D, anti-codon, and T loops). Further hydrogen bonds mediate the characteristic L-shaped molecular structure. tRNAs have two regions of fundamental functional importance: the anti-codon, which is responsible for specific mRNA codon recognition, and the 3' end, to which the tRNAs corresponding amino acid is attached (by aminoacyl-tRNA synthetases). tRNAs cope with the degeneracy of the genetic code in two manners: having more than one tRNA (with a specific anti-codon) for a particular amino acid; and 'wobble' base-pairing, i.e. permitting non-standard base-pairing at the 3rd anti-codon position. Lineage: Eukaryota; Viridiplantae; Chlorophyta; Chloropicophyceae; Chloropicales; Chloropicaceae. The record is from RNAcentral.
GGGCCAUAGCUCAGCUGGGAGAGCGCCUGCCUUGCACGCAGGAGGUCGGCGGUUAAA